Nicotiana attenuata is the source of this 388-nucleotide long non-coding RNA. RefSeq lists it as uncharacterized. The record is from RefSeq and is a predicted model, not a curated record. The transcript is spliced from 4 exons. NCBI's taxonomy places the organism in Eukaryota, Viridiplantae, Streptophyta, Magnoliopsida, Solanales, Solanaceae.
GCACUCCACUUGCUCCGGAGUUGCCUAUUUGAUAUGUUAUGUUGGUACUCGGUUGAGUAAGGUAACGGGUGCCCGUCGCAGUCCAUCGGUUUGGUUCGUGACAAUUUCACAUUGGUUUCAAUCACCUUUUUUCAUAAAGACAUGACAUAGAGAUCUCUUCAUUCAUAUUUUCAGGACUGCAUCCACUGCUCUGUGAUUACAUUACAUAGUCUGCUGCUCAGGACAGUAAAAUUCCAGCACAUAUGACUACAUGGUGUAUACUCAACAAUCUACCCCUUGGGCCCCACCAUCUAAACCAGGACGGCACAGAGGAUUUACAGUCAACAUCAUGAAAGAAGCUCACUUGGAGAUGUAUCAGGAACAAUCAGCGCAACACCCUCACUUGAAG